UACAGAGACUGCAAGCGUUAUUCGGAUUCACUGGGCGUAAAGGGUGCGCAGGCGGCCAUGUGCGUCAGGUGUGAAAGCCCGAGGCUCAACCUCGGAAUUGCGCCUGAAACUACAUGGCUAGAGUACUGGAGAGGGUAGCGGAAUUCAUGGUGUAGCAGUGAAAUGCGUAGAUAUCAUGAGGAACACCAGAGGCGAAGGCGGCUACCUGGACAGUUACUGACGCUCAGGCACGAAAGCGUGGGGAGCAAAAGGG
Molecule: ribosomal RNA, 253 nt
Filed under: uncultured bacterium
Lineage: Bacteria
Description: partial 16S ribosomal RNA
Rfam family: Bacterial small subunit ribosomal RNA
Source: RNAcentral